UUAUCUACAGAAAACAUAUGCAACAAUUUCUAAACAUGUAGCUGUUCACAAAGAAUUUGAACCAUUCCAGUGUUGACACAGGCAGCAAGUGUAUGGACCAAGUAAAAAGAAUGGAUUUUAUCCCAGAGUACAUGUCUUGAUGGAAAAACUAUGCACCUACUCAGAAUUACCCUCACAGCC
Saccostrea echinata is the source of this 180-nucleotide long non-coding RNA. RefSeq lists it as uncharacterized. The record is from RefSeq and is a predicted model, not a curated record. The transcript is spliced from 3 exons. NCBI's taxonomy places the organism in Eukaryota, Metazoa, Mollusca, Bivalvia, Ostreida, Ostreidae.